AUGAACCCCUUGUCCGCCCCAGGCCCGGAUGGUCUCUCGGUUAAGUUCUUCCAGACCUUCUGGCCGGUCAUUAAACCGGAGUUGGUCGCCAUAUUUCAGGAAUUCUACAUUGGGGCGAUUGACUUGGCCCGACUGAACUAUGGGAUCAUCACUCUCAUCCCUAAGGUGGCCGGGGCCUCAGGCAUCCGUCAGUUCCGCCUUAUUACGGUGACCAAUUUGAUCUUCUGUAUUCCGGCGAAGGGGUACGCUAAUAGGGUGACCCUGCUAGGUGACAAAAUCACCCACAGGAAUCAAUCGGCUUUCAUAAAGGGUCGAUACAUCCUGGAUGGGGUUUUAGUGUUCCAUGAAGUCCUUCAUGAGGUCCGCGUCCGGCGUCAGCAUGCGGUCUUCCUGAAGAUUGAUUUCCAUAAGGCCUACGACAUGGUCCACUGGCCCUUCCUGCUGGAAGUUCUCCUGCGCAAAGGGUUUAACAACAGAUGGGUCACACGUGUGAUGCAGAUGGUGUCCUGCUGCCGCACCGCGGUGAACAUUAACAGCGAGAUUGGUCCCUUCUUUCCCACCCUUUGUGGGGUAAGACAUGAUACGUCUCUAACGCAUCUAUAA
RNAcentral lists this ribosomal RNA (603 nucleotides) under Triticum aestivum (bread wheat). RNAcentral's name for it is "partial small subunit ribosomal RNA". Lineage: Eukaryota; Viridiplantae; Streptophyta; Magnoliopsida; Poales; Poaceae. The record is from RNAcentral.